RNAcentral lists this ribosomal RNA (284 nucleotides) under Lysinibacillus fusiformis. RNAcentral's name for it is "partial 16S ribosomal RNA". It matches the Rfam family "Bacterial small subunit ribosomal RNA", at positions 555 to 839 of the family's 1533-position model. Lineage: Bacteria; Bacillati; Bacillota; Bacilli; Caryophanales; Bacillaceae. The record is from RNAcentral.
UGGGCGUAAGCGCGCGCAGGCGGUCCUUUAAGUCUGAUGUGAAAGCCCACGGCUCAACCGUGGAGGGUCAUUGGAAACUGGGGGACUUGAGUGCAGAAGAGGAAAGUGGAAUUCCAAGUGUAGCGGUGAAAUGCGUAGAGAUUUGGAGGAACACCAGUGGCGAAGGCGACUUUCUGGUCUGUAUCUGACGCUGAGGCGCGAAAGCGUGGGGAGCAAACACGAUUAUAUACCCUGGUAGUCCACGCCGUAAACGAUGAGUGCUAAGUGUUAUGGGGUUUCCCCCC